AUCUUCGACAGUCAGUAAACCUGGUAAAGAAAGAGCUGAGAUUCGAGGAGGAAAGGAGUGGAGCAGACAUUAUGUCGUAGAAUUUUCUACCUUAUAAGUCAGAGCCCACCUCCCACUAUAGAAGCUCAUGGGCUAGGCUCCUCCAGUCAGAUGCAACUAUUCCCAAACUUCCUAACACAAGAUAAUGACAUGAAGAGAGGAGGACCACAGACCUGAACUACUGAUGCUGGCAGUCAUGGAAGCAGCUACACUCAGUCACCUGAGUGAGUGGCAUCUAGGCUGAUUUGCAACAACUUGUGGAUAGCUGCUCUUUUCAUCUGAAGUUUAAAAAUAUUUUCAUUACAACGUUUGAGAGGAAUGUCUUCAAGUGGGACCAAGUUCAAGUUUCUUUAAGAAAAAAAAAGAGUUUUGGUGGAUGUCUUCUCAUGUACCAGACUGGGACUGAAUGUGGGAAACUUCAGGAAGGAAGAAGUUAAAGACAUUCAGAUGCUCCACAAGGCAAUCAGAUGGAUCAAGCUUCAAAGACCUUUGGGUAUACGGAGCCAUACAGGUCAAUGGCAGAGCUGCUUCCAUUGUAACCGGCACCAACAAGAGAAUCUUCUCUUGCUUUGUACCCAUUCAAAGUUGAUUAUGUGUUCUUGGGGAUAUACUGGCAUAGAACACCCAACUGUGAAUGUGUAUUGCCUCCAAAUGCCUACAAAGGGUGUGUCUCUUUCUUAAUGACAAUGCAUUCAAGGUGAAAUGAUAUGUUUUUAUCUUUGAGGGAACAUACUGAUAUUCCCCAAAUGACUUCACUCCUAGAAACUGUACUAAUAUAUCAAUCCAUUUAACUUUCAUGGGGUUUAUCUUCCAUUUUCUGAUACUUCUGUGUUGUAUCAGGGCACCUACAUACUGCUGUUGGCUUCUUACUACAUCAAAUCAGCAUGAUGUAAUUCCUACUGUAAUAGUUCAGCCUGACAGCAGACAAGCUGGAAUGGGAUCAAGCUAUUACAUUUCUCCUUCCCUGGUCUAAUACCUUAAUAAUGUAUCCCCACUAAUAUUUUCCAAGUAUUUGCUGAUACAAAUUAACAAAACCUUUUGAGUACUUUGGUAUGAAGCCUUCUCCUCUUAGAUAUGACUAAUUGACCCCCGGGACAUAUAGGGACCUAGCCACAGGCCCAUAGAACUCAUAUUCUGCUUCCUUCUACACACACUCCCUUGCUUUGUAAUGCCCUCACAUGUGGACAGUUCAACACACCUUCCUCUAAUUAGUUCUCUUAGAGAGCAGCCUCCCCAGACUUUCAGCCCUCCUCAGGCUCCUUUUAAGGAAUUCUGAAGAGGGAGCCUGCCUUACCUCAGCAUAUCAGUGAGCUCGGGGAAAACCAAGAAUGGAGGAGACAAAGAGCUGAAGAAGUGGACACAAAAAAACUGUGGAUUUUAAUACUUUUCUGAGGCCCAGAUAAACCAGCUGAAAAGACUCUGAGCUUUCUCAUAAAAUGAAACAUGUUUAUUGCCAGAUAAAAACAAAGCGACUGCUUCUGCUUUUAUUUUCUGUGGGAAUAAAAGAUUCAUAAUCUUC
Long non-coding RNA from Tupaia belangeri chinensis (Chinese tree shrew), 1558 nucleotides. RefSeq lists it as uncharacterized. The transcript is spliced from 5 exons. The record is from RefSeq and is a predicted model, not a curated record. NCBI's taxonomy places the organism in Eukaryota, Metazoa, Chordata, Mammalia, Scandentia, Tupaiidae.